Molecule: transfer RNA, 82 nt
Filed under: Actinopolymorpha singaporensis
Lineage: Bacteria; Bacillati; Actinomycetota; Actinomycetes; Propionibacteriales; Actinopolymorphaceae
Rfam family: tRNA
About the family: Transfer RNA (tRNA) molecules are approximately 80 nucleotides in length. Their secondary structure includes four short double-helical elements and three loops (D, anti-codon, and T loops).
Source: Rfam by way of RNAcentral
GCGAGAGUGGCGGAAUUGGCAGACGCGCCGGACUUAGGAUCCGGUGCCCAUGGGCGUGAGGGUUCGAGUCCCUUCUCUCGCA